CGACCGGCGCACGGGUGAGUAACACGUAUCCAACCUGCCGUCUACUCUUGGACAGCCUUCUGAAAGGAAGAUUAAUACAAGAUGGCAUCAUGAGUCCGCAUGUUCACAUGAUUAAAGGUAUUCCGGUAGACGAUGGGGAUGCGUUCCAUUAGAUAGUAGGCGGGGUAACGGCCCACCUAGUCUUCGAUGGAUAGGGGUUCUGAGAGGAAGGUCCCCCACAUUGGAACCGAGACACGGUCCAAACUCCUACGGAAGGCAGCAG
Molecule: ribosomal RNA, 262 nt
Filed under: uncultured bacterium
Lineage: Bacteria
Description: partial 16S ribosomal RNA
Rfam family: Bacterial small subunit ribosomal RNA
Source: RNAcentral